AGCAGGCGCGCAAAUUACCCAAUCCCGACACGGGGAGGUAGUGACAAUAAAUAACAAUACGGGGCUCUUUCGGGUCUCGUAAUUGGAAUGAGUACAAUUUAAAUCCCUUAACGAGGAACAAUUGGAGGGCAAGUCUGGUGCCAGCGGCCGCGGUAAUUCCAGCUCCAAUAGCGUAUAUUAAAGUUGUUGCAGUUAAAAAGCUCGUAGUUGAAUUUCGGGAUUGACACAUCGGUCGUGCCUUAAGGGGUAUGAACUGGUGUAGUCAAUUUCUCACCUUCUGGAGAACCGCGAUGCCCUUAAUUGGGUGUCACGGGGAACCAGGACCUUUACUUUGAAAAAAUUAGAGUGUUUAAAGCAGGCAUUUUGCUUGAAUACAUUAGCAUGGAAUAAUAAAAUAGGACGGCAUGAUUCUAUUUUGUUGGUUUCUAGGAUCACCGUAAUGAUUAAUAGGGAUAGUUGGGGGCAUUAGUAUUCAAUUGUCAGAGGUGAAAUUCUUGGAUUUAUUGAAGACUAACUACUGCGAAAGCAUUUGCCAAGGAUGUUUUCAUUAAUCAAGAACGAAAGUUAGGGGAUCGAAGACGAACAGAUACCGUCGUAGUCUUAACCAUAAACUAUGCCGACUAGGAAUCAGACGAUGUUAAUUUUUUAAUGACUCGUUUGGCACCUUACGGGAAACCAAAGUGUUUGGGUU
RNAcentral lists this ribosomal RNA (691 nucleotides) under uncultured Glomeromycotina. Its description in RNAcentral is "SSU rRNA". It matches the Rfam family "Eukaryotic small subunit ribosomal RNA", at positions 427 to 1113 of the family's 1831-position model. Lineage: Eukaryota; Fungi; Glomeromycota. The record is from RNAcentral.